CAGUUCAGAUUGCAGGCUGCAACCCGCCUGCAUGAAGUCGGAAUUGCUAGUAAUCGCGGAUCAGCAUGCCGCGGUGAAUACGUUCCCGGGCCUUGUACACACCGCCCGUCACACCAUGGGAGCCGGUAAUACCCGAAGUCAGUAGUCCAACCUCGUGAGGACGCUGGCGAAGGUAGGAUUGGCGACUGGGGUGAAGUCGUAACAAGGUACC
Molecule: ribosomal RNA, 211 nt
Filed under: uncultured bacterium
Lineage: Bacteria
Description: partial 16S ribosomal RNA
Rfam family: Bacterial small subunit ribosomal RNA
Source: RNAcentral